Tarenaya hassleriana is the source of this 633-nucleotide long non-coding RNA. RefSeq lists it as uncharacterized. The transcript is spliced from 2 exons. The record is from RefSeq and is a predicted model, not a curated record. Lineage: Eukaryota; Viridiplantae; Streptophyta; Magnoliopsida; Brassicales; Cleomaceae.
CUCUCUUCAGGAAUCCCAAGACAAAAUCGAAACCCAAUGCUUCUGAUACAGAUUUGUCGCCACCGAUCUCAAUAGCUAGUCGUGGCUUGCCACCGGCGUCUUUGGAAGAGUUCUUCUCACUCGCUCUCUCUCGUCGACGAUCACUCUUGAGUUUUUUCUCGGACAUUGUGAAAAAUUUAGAGAGAAGGAAGAGAUGGUUGGGGACAAAAUCGCUCACAGCACUUUGAAAGGACCGAGUGUUGUGAAGGAGAUAGUGAUUGGCAUCACGCUCGGCUGGCUGCCGGUAGUCUCUGGAAGAUGCAUCACUGGAACGAGCAGAGGAAAACAAGAGCCUUCUAUGACUUGCUUGAGAAGGGUGAGAUUAGCCGUUGAGUGAAAACCUCUCUAAAUAGUAAGUCUCCUGAUCAGCUUCUGCCUCGGUUCGAUGAUUUUCUUUCCAUUGUUUUAGAUUUUAUUGAGAGAUCUCAGACGAACAACAAGAGAUCAGAUUUUCGAGAAAUAAACUGAUCAUGUCAUGUUUUUUUUUGUGUGUGGAUUUUGACUGCUUUUUUAUACAAUCGGCAUAGAACCAUGUCAUAGAUUAUCUAAGUUGACGGAGCUUCUUAUUUUUUGGAUUGAACAAUUUCAUUUAUU